AACCGUGUACGUACAAGCAGUGGGAGCACCCUUUGGGUGUGACUGCGUACCUUUUGUAUAAUGGGUCAGCGACUUAUAUUCUGUAGCAAGGUUAACCGAAUAGGGGAGCCGGAGGGAAACCGAGUCUUAACCGGGCGUUAAGUUGCAGGGUAUAGACCCGAAACCCGGUGAUCUAGCCAUGGGCAGGUUGAAGGUUGGGUAACACUAACUGGAGGACCGAACCGACUAAUGUUGAAAAAUUAGCGGAUGACCUGUGGCUGGGGGUGAAAGGCCAAUCAAACCGGGAGAUAGCUGGUUCUCCCCGAAAGCUAUUUAGGUAGCGCCUCGUGAAUUCAUCUCCGGGGGUAGAGCACUGUUUCGGCUAGGGGGCCAUCCCGGCUUACCAACCCGAUGCAAACUGCGAAUACCGGAGAAUGUUAUCACGGGAGACACACGGCGGGUGCUAACGUCCGUCGUGAAGAGGGAAACAACCCAGACCGCCAGCUAAGGUCCCAAAGUCAUGGUUAAGUGGGAAACGAUGUGGGAAGGCCCAGACAGCCAGGAUGUUGGCUUAGAAGCAGCCAUCAUUUAAAGAAAGCGUAAUAGCUCACUGGUCGAGUCGGCCUGCGCGGAAGAUGUAACGGGGCUAAACCAUGCACCGAAGCUGCGGCAGCGACACUGUGUGUUGUUGGGUAGGGGAGCGUUCUGUAAGCCUGUGAAGGUGUGUCGUGAGGC
RNAcentral lists this ribosomal RNA (714 nucleotides) under Salmonella enterica. Its description in RNAcentral is "partial 23S ribosomal RNA". It matches the Rfam family "Bacterial large subunit ribosomal RNA", at positions 554 to 1269 of the family's 2925-position model. The record is from RNAcentral. Lineage: Bacteria; Pseudomonadati; Pseudomonadota; Gammaproteobacteria; Enterobacterales; Enterobacteriaceae.